RNAcentral lists this ribosomal RNA (849 nucleotides) under uncultured archaeon. RNAcentral describes it as "bacterial SSU rRNA". It matches the Rfam family "Archaeal small subunit ribosomal RNA", at positions 472 to 1319 of the family's 1478-position model. The record is from RNAcentral.
AACACCGGCAGCCCGAGUGGUGAUCACUAUUAUUGGGUCUAAAGGGUCCGUAGCCGGUUUAAUCAGUCUUCUGGGAAAUCUAAUCGCUUAACUAUUAGGCUUCCAGGGGAUACUGUUAGACUUGGGACCGGGAGAGGUAAGAGGUACUGCAGGGGUAGGAGUGAAAUCUUGUAAUCCCUGUGAGACCACCAGUGGCGAAGGCGUCUUACCAGAACGGGUCCGACGGUGAGGGACGAAAGCUGGGGGCACGAACCGGAUUAGAUACCCGGGUAGUCCCAGCUGUAAACGAUGCUCGUUAGGUGUCAGGAACGGUGCGACUGUUUCUGGUGCCGAAGGGAAGCCGUGAAACGAGCCACCUGGGAAGUACGGCCGCAAGGCUGAAACUUAAAGGAAUUGGCGGGGGAGCACUACAACGGGUGGAGCCUGCGGUUUAAUUGGACUCAACGCCGGAAAACUCACCGGGGGCGACAGCAAUAUGUAGGUCAGGUUAAAGGUCUUACCUGAAUCGCUGAGAGGAGGUGCAUGGCCGUCGUCAGUUCGUACUGUGAAGCAUCCUGUUAAGUCAGGCAACGAGCAAGACCCGUGCCCACUGUUACCAGCAUAUCCUUUAUGGAUGAUGGGGACUCUGUGGGGACCGCUGCUGCUAAAGCAGAGGAAGGUGCGGGCUACGGUAGGUCAGUAUGCCCCGAAUCUCCCGGGCUACACGCGGGCUACAAUGGUUGGGACAAUGGGUAUCUACUCCGAGAGGAGUUGGCAACCUCUUAAACCCAAUCGUAGUUCGAAUUGAGGGCUGUAACUCGCCCUCAUGAAGCUGGAAUCCGUAGUAAUCGCGUUUCAACAUAGCGCGGU